Molecule: long non-coding RNA, 1043 nt
Organism: Ictalurus punctatus (channel catfish)
Lineage: Eukaryota; Metazoa; Chordata; Actinopteri; Siluriformes; Ictaluridae
Source: Ensembl
GCCCAAGUGAGAGGUGUAGGAUUUGGGACUGUGGAGGUCUCUCCCUCCUCUGCCUCCAUAACCUCAACCCAAGUGGGAAUUGAAGGAGUUGGGACUGUGGAGGUCUCUGCCUCCUCUGCCUCCAUAAUUUCACCCCCUGUGAGAGGUAAAAGAGUUGAGGCUGUGGAUGUCUCUGGCUCCUCUGCCUCCAUAAUCUCACCCCCUGUGAUAGGUGAAGGAGUUGGAGCUGUGGAUGUCUCGGCCUCCUCUGCCUCCAUAGUCUCACCCCCUGUGAGAGGUGGAUGAGUUGGGACUGUGGAGGUCUCUGCCUUCUCUUCCUCCAUAAUCACACCCAAUGUGCACGGUGUAGGAGUGGGGGUUGUGGAUGUCUCUUCCUCCUCUUCUUCCAUAAUCACACCCAAUGUGCGAGGUGUAGGAGUGGGGUCUGUGGACAUCUCUUCCUCCUCUUCCUCCAUAAUCACACCCAAUGUGCGAGCUGUAGGAGUGGGGGCUGUGGACGUCUCUUCCUCAUCUUCCUCCAUAAUCUCAGCCCAAAUGGGAAUUGAAGGAGUUGGAACUGUGGACGUCUCUUCCUCCUCUUCCUCCAUAAUCACACCCAAUGUGCGAGGUGUAGGAGUGGGGACUGUGGACGUCUCUUCCUCCUCUGCGUCCAUAAUCUCAGCCCAAGUGGGAAUUGAAGGAGUUGGGACUCUGGAGGUCUCUGCCUCCAUAACCUCAGCCCAAGUGAGAGGUGUAGGAGUUGGGACUGUGGAGGUCUCUCCAUCCUCUGCCUCCAUAACCUCAGCCCAAGUGGGAAUUGAAGGUGUUGGGACUGUGGAUGUCUCUGCCUCCUCUGCCUCCAUACUUUCACCCCCUGUGAGAGGUGAAGGAGUUGGGGCUGUGGACGUCUCGGGCUCCUCUGCCUCCAUAAUCUCACCCCCUGUGAGAGGUGAAGGAGUUGUGGGUGUGGAUGGAGACACUUCAUCUCUGCUUUGGUCAGGAGACAGAUUGGAGGUGGGCUGACGCUCAAGCUCUGACACAUGUGGUGAUGUGGACACAGGUGC